AGAGAUCUGGAGGGGCUCAGGUGGAAAGAUUGACGCACUUGUCUCUGGUAUAGGGACUGGAGGUACAGUGACAGGUGCAGGGAAGUAUCUCAAAGAACAAAAUCCUAAUAUUAAGUUAUAUGGCGUUGAACCUGUUGAAAGUGCAAUUCUAUCUGGAGGAAAGCCUGGCCCACAUAAAAUCCAAGGAAUUGGGGCAGGCUUCAUCCCUGGAGUUUUGGAUGUCAAUUUGCUAGAUGAAGUUAUUCAAGUAUCAAGUGAAGAAUCUAUUGAAACUGCAAAGCUGCUUGCAUUGAAAGAAGGUCUACUGGUUGGUAUAUCAUCUGGCGCGGCCGCGGCUGCUGCAAUUAGGAUUGCAAAGAGACCAGAAAAUGCUGGAAAGCUUAUUGUUGCGGUAUUCCCGAGUUUUGGGGAACGAUACCUCUCAACCGUGCUGUUCGAGUCUGUGAAACGAGAGACUGAGAAUAUGGUUUUCGAGCCAUGAGAGGUUUAUGUAAUAUUUUCUUGCUUCAAAUGGAGAGCCAGCCAGUUGAACCUGCAAAUUUCCCAUGAGUCAAAGCAAAGAAAGAAAGUGAACUUCAAGCGGUUCUUUUUAGCUUUCGAUGCUUUUGCUUAUACCUGUAGUGAUUUGAAUAACUUGUUUCCUUAAUAGCUUCUUUCGUUUAUGGUUUGCUCAGUUUUAGUGGAUAAACACAGAUGCAGCUGAGAAUAAGGAUAGUCUUUCAUGUAUUCCCUUCUGUCGAAUAAUGUAUG
RNAcentral lists this unclassified non-coding RNA (750 nucleotides) under Hevea brasiliensis (rubber tree). Lineage: Eukaryota; Viridiplantae; Streptophyta; Magnoliopsida; Malpighiales; Euphorbiaceae. The record is from RNAcentral.